This 511-nucleotide ribosomal RNA is filed under the name uncultured bacterium. RNAcentral's name for it is "bacterial SSU rRNA". It matches the Rfam family "Bacterial small subunit ribosomal RNA", at positions 32 to 520 of the family's 1533-position model. The record is from RNAcentral.
AAUCAACGCUGGCGGCGUGCCUCAGACAUGCAAGUCGAACGCGAAAGGCCCCUUCGGGGGCCGAGUAGAGUGGCGUCCGGGUGAGUAACACGUGGGUAAUCUACCUUCGGGUGGGGAAUAACGACCGGAAACGGUCGCUAAUACCGCAUAAUGCAGCGGCACCUAAUGGUGACAGUUGUUAAAGCGGGGAUCGCAAGACCUCGCGCCUGAAGAGGAGCCCGCGGCGGAUUAGCUAGUUGGCAGGGUAACGGCCUACCAAGGCGACGAUCCGUAGCCGGCCUGAGAGGGCGGUCGGCCACACUGGCACUGACACACGGGCCAGACUCCUACGGGAGGCAGCAGUCGGGAAUUUUGGGCGAAUGGGCGAAAGCCUGACCCAGCAACGCCGCGUGAAGGAUGAAGCUUUUCGGAGUGUAAACUUCAUAAGAAUGGACGAAUAAGGAGGGGUUAACACCCCCUUUGAUGACGGUACCAUUGUAAGCUCCGGCUAACUCCGUGACAGCAGCCGCCG